This 105-nucleotide small nuclear RNA is filed under the name Peromyscus maniculatus bairdii (prairie deer mouse). Lineage: Eukaryota; Metazoa; Chordata; Mammalia; Rodentia; Cricetidae. The record is from RNAcentral.
GUUCUCCCAUUCGGUGAGCACAUAUACUAAAAAAUUGGAAUGAUAAAGAGAAGAUUAGAAUGGCCCCUGAGCUUUACUUCUAAUGACCAAUUAUUUCAGAUUUCU